CAAGCGGUGGAGCAUGUGGUUAAUUCGAUGAUACGCGAGGAACCUUACCAGGUCUUGACAUCCCGGUGCUAUUUCUAGAGAUAGAAAGUUACUUCGGUACAUCGGUGACAGGUGGUGCAUGGUUGUCGUCAGCUCGUGUCGUGAGAUGUUGGGUUAAGUCCCGCAACGAGCGCAACCCCUAUUGUUAGUUGCCAUCAUUCAGUUGGGCACUCUAGCGAGACUGCCGGUAAUAAACCGGAGGAAGGUGGGGAUGACGUCAAAUCAUCAUGCCCCUUAUGACCUGGGCUACACACGUGCUACAAUGGUUGGUACAACGAGUUGCGAGUCGGUGACGGCGAGCUAAUCUCUUAAAGCCAAUCUCAGUUCGGAUUGUAGGCUGCAACUCGCCUACAUGAAGUCGGAAUCGCUAGUAAUCGCGGAUCAGCACGCCGCGGUGAAUACGUUCCCGGGCCCU
This 454-nucleotide ribosomal RNA is filed under the name uncultured Streptococcus sp. RNAcentral's name for it is "bacterial SSU rRNA". It matches the Rfam family "Bacterial small subunit ribosomal RNA", at positions 926 to 1382 of the family's 1533-position model. The record is from RNAcentral. Lineage: Bacteria; Bacillati; Bacillota; Bacilli; Lactobacillales; Streptococcaceae.